ACGUCAGAAGCUCAACAGGCUGAGCACCGGUCUCCAAAACCGUAGGUUGUAGGUUCGAAUCCUAUCUGACGUGCCA
RNAcentral lists this transfer RNA (76 nucleotides) under Bacteroidota bacterium. RNAcentral describes it as "Bacteroidetes bacterium (activated sludge metagenome) tRNA-Trp". It matches the Rfam family "tRNA". From Rfam's summary of the family: Transfer RNA (tRNA) molecules are approximately 80 nucleotides in length. Their secondary structure includes four short double-helical elements and three loops (D, anti-codon, and T loops). The record is from RNAcentral. Lineage: Bacteria; Pseudomonadati; Bacteroidota.